RNAcentral lists this ribosomal RNA (119 nucleotides) under Oncorhynchus mykiss (rainbow trout). Lineage: Eukaryota; Metazoa; Chordata; Actinopteri; Salmoniformes; Salmonidae. The record is from RNAcentral.
GCUUACGGCCACACCGGCCUGAGUACGCAUGAUCUCGUCCGAUCUCGGAAGCUAAGCAGGGUCGGGCCUGGUUAGUACUUGGAUGGGAGACCGCCUGGGAAUACCAGGUGCUGUAAGCU